RNAcentral lists this long non-coding RNA (385 nucleotides) under Elaeis guineensis (African oil palm). RNAcentral describes it as "long non-coding RNA (EGUI_LNC047650)". The record is from RNAcentral. Lineage: Eukaryota; Viridiplantae; Streptophyta; Magnoliopsida; Arecales; Arecaceae.
GACAUAAGCUGAGUGCUAGGACAGAUAAAUACUUAUUUGUAUAUUAUCCUAAAAAGAAUAUAAGAUAUCUCUUUUACCACCCUACUGAAUAAAAGAUUUUUAUUAGUAAAUAUGCCAUUUUUAUGAAAAAAGAGUUUAUCCUAAAAAGAGGUAGUGGGAAGAAAAUUAAACUUAGAAAAGUUCAAGACCUACAAAUGCAAGCACAAGAUGAUUCUCAAUCAAAAAUAUCUAUUAAUGAAGUACAACCAUAAAAUACACCUCUCUGAAGGUCGGAUAGAGUGCGGAAUGCACCUAUAAGGUAUGAGUUCGUUAUUGAGAAUAAUAAAGCCCACAUCAUUGAGAAUGAUAAACUUUUGACCUAUAUGGAAGCCAUUAUGAGUAGGGA